Molecule: long non-coding RNA, 7121 nt
Filed under: Marmota monax (woodchuck)
Lineage: Eukaryota; Metazoa; Chordata; Mammalia; Rodentia; Sciuridae
Source: RNAcentral
GUUUUGUUUUUUUCUUUAAGGCAGUCUACUCUUGACAGUAUCCAAGGAGUUGGAGAUAUUUGAACUAGUGGUUGCUGCCACAGUGAGGUCUCAUGGCAGUGAGCAGGUAGUUGCUGGGUACAAGCACCUAGUGGUUCAUGCCUCCCUGAACUCAGCAUGCUGGCCUUCCCUGUGCACCCUUGCCCUUGGGACUCUCUGGACUUCAUCCCCUACAGGCUCACUCAUCCUGCACUUCCCCUUUGGAACACGGAGCGUAGUAUAUCUGGUGGGGUCUUCGCGCAAUGCGUGAAGACCACUUUAUUCUAUGCAGCAAUAAUACUGCAAUAGUAAGUGAGUCACCGGAUUCAAUGUUUAAUUCCCAGGUCUGGCCAUCCCCUGCCAAAAAAAAAAAAAAAGGAAGAAAAGGAAAAAGAACCAAAUCACCACCUGUGCCACUCCAAAGGAAGAAUCCCUGAUCUUUGGGAAUUCCACCCUCUGCAACAUGGAUGGCAAUACUAGGUGAGAAAGCAGGCAGUGAGCACUGUGAGUGCACACAUGUGCAGGGGGCGAUGCAGUGACAGCUGCUCCUGGAAGGGCAGCAAGUAGUACAGUCUGUGGGCUCAGACACCAGUGGGCAGCCAGGGUGAAGUCAAAGACAGGAGAAGGCUAGGUUCAGCAUGCCAUUUGCUUAUGUCUUUCAUCUCUUGGUUAGAAUAGGAUUUCAGGGCUGUACACCCAGGUGCCUAGCAAUUGUCAACAUGGAAUGUGUGCGGUUGGAACAGGAAGGCCAAUGUGAAGACCCCAUGGCCACCCAACUGCAGCUCAUCCCCACUCUGAUGCCUAGACCUGAGUAUGACUCCACUUUCAGCUCCCUGUCCCGUGCACAACAUGCGCAAGGAGCAACAGGUGAAACUAGCAUCUGCAUUCCAGCGGAUGCCUCUUGGGCCCAUAACCUUCCUAAACCUGUUUCCUACCUCUGGGAGGCACAUGGAGCAGCCAGGGGUGGGUCCAGGUGGGACCAGGCUUUGUGCUCCAGGCCUGCUGGUCUGUCCUUCCUGCAAAACACCUAUUGACCAGCUAUGUCAAGUGCCCCCUCUGCUCCCACCCUCCUGGGGUGUAUUGUCCUUAUUGCUCGCUAGACCAUCAUGGCAUCUUGUGAUUUCUUUCAGUUAUUUAAAUCUCAGCUCAGCCCCCCUCUGCUUAAAAAAAAAAAAAAAAUCCCAGUUCCCCAUAGAAACUAAAAGCUCUCUGAAGGAAGAAGAAAGUUUUUCAGGAGCCAUGAAAGCCUGUCUCAACUAUAGGAAAGGUAGGGAGAGACAUGCAGCAGACAGGCUGCUAAUCCCAGAUGGAAAUGCUGGAUCCAAAUAGCUCAAGUCCUCCUGACAUGCUGGGAUCAAGUUCAGACUUUGAAGUCACAUCAGAUAUGAUGGCAUCAAUGUUAGUUCAUCAAAAUUAUAUUAUUUCCAGUGUGACAUGCUUAUCCUGCUUUAAUAUUGCUUUAGGUGAGAUCCAAGCAAUGAAAUAAAUGAGCAGUAGAUUGUUAGGACCAAAAGGGACCUUUGUCUGCCUAAGCCUCGUGGCAGACAAAGCCUGCACAUUCACAGUAUCAGACAGUGAGCACGCGGCCAGCAGGGCCCCACCCUGAGCCAGGUCCUGACUCCCUACCUGGCUUUCUCCCCCCAAAGAGGAUGGUGUCUAACUCAGAUACCAUGGAACCUGGAAUCCUCGAGCCCUCUCCCAGGUCCUCAGAUCUCAGGGACAGGGUGCUGAAAGUGGGACUUGAGGUGUAGGUGUCCUCCUCAGUCCUCUGACACAGCAGGACUUCCAGAGGCUGGGUUGGCCCUGAGACUGCUUCUGGCUCCCUGGUCUCUUACCUGUCAUGAUUGUCCACUGCUUCAUGGGGUUGACUGACCUCAUUCUACUGGGAAAAGCAUGAAGUUCCAGGCUCUGGAGUCAAAUGAGCAAACUUUGAAGGGAACUUGGGGAUGUAGAUGUGGGGGGAAGCAGGUAGCAGAAGGGCUCUGGCAGGAGACCAACCACCCACAGGAAGAGGCCAUAAGUUGCUGACCACAUGAACAGAGGGUCAGCUUGUACAUUCAGAUGAAGCUUCAGCUCCAUCUAAGGCUAUGGUAGCAUCACAAAAAAGGGAGAUUUAAGCCAGGAGCCAUGUGCUGCAGGGAGUAAGGAGAGAAAGUCAACACAUGAUCUGGUCACCCAUUUGUGGAUGAGUGGCAGGGAUGGGCCAGAGGUGAAUUGGGGUGUCGAGAGCUAAGGCCACGAGGCACUGUGGAGUUCUGGAAAGGCAGUCUUCUACCAUGAACAGUGUGGAUGCGUCUCUCCGUGCCUCUGGCCUGCAUGGUUUUUGAUAAGAAACACACUGGCAACCUUAUUGAGCUCCCACCGAUAGCCUCUCUUAUAGCCAUUCUCGUUGUUUUCAGAUUCUUUGUUUUGGCUUUCAGCAGUUUGGUUAUGAUAUGUCUAGGUGUGAAUUUCUGAGUUUAUCCCACUGAAGGAUACAAUGUCGAGGUGUUGAGAUUCUUAGAUAUGUAGAUCAUUGUUUUCCUUCACAUUUUAGAAGUUUAGAGCACUGUUUCUUCACUCCUUCUGACCUUUCCUCUCUCCCCUCCUCUUGGACUCACUGUGCAUCUGUUGGUACAACUUCACUCUCUUUUUGCAUUUAGGUGUGACACUUCCAGAAAUUCUACUUAAGAGGCAUGGAGUUGUGGCUCAGUGGUAGAGCGCUUGCCUGGUGUGAGGCCCUGGGUUUGAUCCUCAGCACUGUAUAUAAUAAAUAAAAAUAAAUUUUAAAAAAGAUCCAUUUACAACUAAAAAAUAUUUUUAGAAAAAGAAAUUCUACUUAAGCGGAGAGAUGCCCUUCCUCCUGGAAUGUGGCUAUAAGAUCUGGCUCUCCACCAACUGUCUUGGGCCUGAGCUGACCUUAAGGAUGGAGACCACAAGUCCGAGAUCUGGGGGCCUGAUGAGUUUCUGGACCCAUCAUGCUUUGGGCCUGCCAACGUCCAGACUACAUUUUCUGAAUUUCUUUUGUGUGAAAGAGAAAUAAACAUAUAUCUGGAUUAGCUAUUAUUAUUUUAGAUUUUUAAGACAUAUGUCAUGUAAGCAAUGGAAUUAUCUAGUGUAAAUUUGCCAUGAAACAUAAGAUACCUCAGUUAUGAGGAGUCAAGAGUUCUUUUUUUUUUUAGAGAGAGAGAGAAGUAUUUAUUAUUUAUUUUUUGGCAGACACAACAUCUUCGUUUGUUAUGUGGUGCUGAGGAUCGAACCCGGGCCGCACGCAUACCAGGCGAGCGCGCUACCGCUUGAGCCACAUCCCCAGCCCCGAGUCAAGAGUUCUUUACAAGGACUUUAUGAUGGUAAAAAUUGUAGGCACAGUCUUGGGCAGACUCAUUUUCCAGACUCAUUUUUCCACUGCUUCCAGUGGGUGUCAAAGACACUGAGUAGGUAUUUAUACAGUGUGGAAAUGACCAUUCAGGUAGGUUCGACAUCAGGAAACAGUGGAGCUUUGGGAUCUCCUAUCAGGAAACCAUGAUUUGCCUUGCUCUUCAAGGUUUUCCUAUAGGCCCCUCCCCCCCAAAUUUGUGGUAAUUUCAGGCCAUUUCUCGAAUUGUUCCUUCUAUAAAACAAAAGUUCCUCAUACUUGUUAACUUCCUAAAUCCUCUACCUUGCUACCAUAGCCUUUAAUGGAGCUGAGGUUUCAUCUGAAUGUAGAAGCUAAGCUAAGUUUCUGUGUUCUGACUUUAUCUUAGGCAUCUGCAUCUCCAGGAAACAGAGUGUGUGCACCAGUGGGCACAGCACUCUUGUUGAAGCUGCAGCUGAAAGUCAUGUCUCCUUAGUGGCUACUCAGCUGAGCUGCUAGUCAACUUCUCUGGUCUCAGCAAUGAAUCAGCCUCCUCUGCCUCUUCCUUGGGUUGGUUUGCCUCAAAGUUCUUCCAAGAUGUUUAUAAAACAUGCAGUUAGUUGGCUUUCAUUUCCUAACCUGAAGAUGUUCCUUACUCUGGCUUUUGCCAUUUUUCAUUCCAUCUCACUAGAGCAUAGUAGAGAAGUCCUUCAAGGAAGAACGAUUUCAACAGAGCAGCUGCCAGCUGCUGUACAUUUUCUUUACCUAGUCCUAAAUAUGAGACCGUCAGCAACACCCUGCUCACUGCUGGCUCAUGUCAUUUAUAUUGCCCUAGGUUUUAUGUUGGAGAAAAGACAAGAAAAUAUGUAGAAACAAGAGGCAAACUUGUUGACUUUUUGACAUUCUUGCUUACACACACAUGGAGGUGGACCUCAACACCUGAAAGUGAGCUGAAGACAGGGAAAGGAAGAGGCAGUUACUAGGCUGGGAACUGCUUCUCACCACUGAAAGUCAGGAGCUCUGAGCUUGGCUGCCUCUGGUUCCUUCACGCACUGAAAUAAAUUCUGGUCUCAUGCAGACUCAUUCUCCAGGACACUGUGGGCGUCAACCAGCCUGGUUCUCAGAUGACUUCAGGCUCCUGGCUAAAAUCUCCCCUUUCUGUCAUGCUACCAUAGCCUUAGAUGGAGCUGAAGCUUCAUCUGAAAUCAUCAGCUGUUUUUGUGUUCUGAUUUUACCUUUUCCACAUAUACCUUAUACAUCACUAUAAGGUUAUACCAUAGUAUAUUAUACUUCCAAGAGCCCUGAAUCAUUUGUUUUGACAACUUUCCCCAGUUUCUCAUGUCAUGAGGACCCCUGCUAAUUGAAUUUACUUUAACUUCUUUUUUUCCAAAAUUUAUUGGAAGGAUGUUUAGUGUGGACAUUAACCAUGUUAUCAUUUUUAUGCUCAUAACCAAACCAGAAUUAAAUUUUACAAUAUCAUGUAGUACUUUUAUCACAACAGCUUGCUACAACUCAGAUACAUUAAAAAUGCUGCCUUCCUAUUGAGUCUGGCUUUUUAAAUUCCAUCAAAAAAGCAAUAAAUUUCUGCUGACAAAAUUGUCUGGGAAGUGCCAUGUGGCUUGACCCAUGGUCCUGCCAUCUGUGAUUUAUUAGGCUCCCAGCUGCAGCCCUUGGGAGAGGCUCUGUGGCAGGUGGCCAUCAUUUGUAUAGCUUGAAAAAUCCCACUAUUCGACACUCUGGCAUUUGGGAACACUCCUGUCAAGACUGGUAGGAUGAAGUCUCAUGAAGAAACACCAAUAGCUGCAGGAGGCCAGUGUUGUGGGCUGCUCAAAGUGGUUCCAAGUCCUCAGCUGGGCCACUGGAAAUUGGCCAUGGCUGGAGAAUACACAAUACAGAAGUUAGAAACACUACAAAUACAAACUAUGCACACUCUGACCCUCUUCUACAGAGCUGGCUCACCAGCACCACCGGACACACCCCAGUCAGGUACCUAGCCAUCACCACGGACUGAAGGUUGUGUCCCAUGCACUGUCAGUGACUGUAGGUGCCUCUGGCCACGCAGAAGCAGAUUUUUCUGUCCAGCUGUGGUGAGUUUGGCUAUGGCCAAACUUUUCCUUUUACUCCUCCUCCCCACCUUUUUUUUUUUUUUUUUGUGGCAAAUCAGACCAUUUAACUCUCAUUUAGGGCCUGCUUAAGGAAAAGAGGCACACAAAAUUGGCUCUGCCCAGAGUGCUAAUGUUGCAGUCCACUUUGCGUAACUUUAUUUUCCAGCCUUCUAGCAGAGAGCCAUGCAGAGCAAUAAGGAAAUAACUCGGGGUCUCCUAAAGGCCACCUUAAAAUGGAUGUAUAGCAACUAAAAAUCUUAGAAUUAUCAGCAAAUAAUGAUGUUUACUUGUGAUGAUGGUAAAAGAGAAAUGGGACCAAAUAAGGUUUUCCUUCAAUUAAACUCCAGAUGGGCAUUUCCUGGUGUCUGAAUCUUCUGACUCACCCAAGCACUAGGCAUAGAUUCCCCUCUGAAUCACCAGGUCGCCAAUGCUGUGGCCUUUCUUCUGGGAGGGGACUUGAUGAUAGCAAGUCCAAAGCUCACAGAUACGAGAGAACAAUUAAUCGACUACGUGGCAGGAGGGACCCAGCCGAGGUGCUCCAGCAACAGGGCAAAGUCCACAGACACUGGCCAAGUGUCUGGGCAUGGGUCCCUCUGCCUCCCGAAACUCGUUGCUGUUGGAGAGACAGAAGGAGUAGAGUGUCUGCCCUUGCUUCUGGUUUUGUCCCCAGUCUAGUCCCCACUUAUGUGUCCUGUGGAUAGUGGAGUUCUUUAGUGUCGAGUUUCCAGGAGACAUAUGAAAUGCUGCCAGUUAUGAGUGCUCAGGGUGCUUGUCAGGGUGUGGAUGCUGGCUCUGACCAAGUACAAAAUCAUGUGGAAGAAAGCAGAGAAAAGAAAAGCAAGAUUAGUGUCUCGAGAUCCUAUCUUGUGGCGGAGGGGGGCGUGGCUGGGGUUGUGGCUCAGUGGUAGAGCGCUUGCCUAAGUGUGUGUGAGGCCCUGGGUUCGAUCCUCAGCACCACAUAAAAAUAAGUAAAUAAAACAAAGGUAUUGUGUCCAUCUACAACUAAAAAAUAAAUAUUUAAACAACGAUCCUAUCUUGCCCUAUUAAGAGAAAACUGCAGGGAUAGAAAAUACUCUGAUAGUGUGACCACUCAAACAGCCUUGGAGGUCCACGGGAAAUAGCAUGUAUUAAAGAAAAAUAUUGAUAAAAAAAUGACAUACUUUCUGCAGCUAUUUCUCUGAAUGAAAGACAGUUGUGCCCUCCACAGUUCCUAUGAGAGCUAUUGAACUUUAAAAGGGCAUUUAUAAGCAGGAAUCAGAUUUGCUGUGGCUCCUGCUCUUGCCAGUGGAGGGCCCUCUGGCUUUUCCUUUUAUGAUCCCAGGUUGAAAGGAAAUUGCCUCUGGAGUGAGUGGAACCUUUGUAUGAGAACAACCCUCUCUGGUUUCUGUUUCCUGUUUGUGUAAGCCACAACCCUGCUCCAGUGACUGGGUUUUCAGUGAAUACGUAAAGCCAGUGCAAGCCCAGUUGCUCUGCUGGACCUGACCUCCAGAAGGACUGACCUGCAGCAAAGGUGACCAAGCAUCUGCAGAAUGAGCUUCAGACAGGCAAAGCCCUGUUUGCUCCAGUGCUCAUCCAGGUCUGGAGCCUGCCCCAGGGUGGGUGCCAAGAUUCGCACAAGAACAAAGUUAAACUGUUCUGACUCCACUGUGAAGACACUCUGCACUCAUAAACCACAUGUGCUUGAC